AACGCACCUUGCACCCUUUGGUAUUCCGAAGGGUAUGCCUGUUUGAGUGUCAUUAAAUUCUCAACCGUACAUGCUUUUGUAUGUAUUGGCUUGGAUAUGGGGGUUUGCGGGUCUCUUAGAGAUCGGCUCCUCUGAAAAGCAUUAGUGGGAACCGUUUGUAGGGGUUCGCUUUUAUUCACUUGACGUGAUAAUUCUAUCGUCGUCUAUCAUGGAUAUUGAACUCUGAGGCUCUUGCUUCUAACAGUCUGUUAUGGACAAUGUUUAAUCUAUAUUUGACCUCAAAUCAGGUAGGACUACCCGCUGAACUUAA
RNAcentral lists this unclassified non-coding RNA (310 nucleotides) under Hemimycena sp. RNAcentral describes it as "partial contains 5.8S ribosomal RNA, internal transcribed spacer 2, and large subunit ribosomal RNA". The stretch from base 1 to 52 matches the Rfam family "5.8S ribosomal RNA", at positions 103 to 154 of the family's 154-position model. Lineage: Eukaryota; Fungi; Basidiomycota; Agaricomycetes; Agaricales; Mycenaceae. RNAcentral also lists the same sequence under 1 other name. The record is from RNAcentral.